Molecule: long non-coding RNA, 643 nt
Organism: Cyprinus carpio carpio
Lineage: Eukaryota; Metazoa; Chordata; Actinopteri; Cypriniformes; Cyprinidae
Source: Ensembl
CCCAGUGGCAAUUACAGACCCUAAAACACAACCCACAUGGAUUCUAGCAGUUGUGGAGUUUUGGUAUUGAAUGUAUGUGUUCAAAUAUUUGCAAAAGUGGCUUCAGGUAUGAAAAUGUUAUACUGAAUUGGAUUAAUAUCGUCUGUCAAUUAAUGUUUCAGUUUGCUGAAGAAUACCUGCUGACAGGAACGAUCAGCCAAGUUCAGACUACAUCUGAAGCAGUCAGCUCAUCACGCGUGAAAAUAGCCUGCACACUUCUUAGAUGUCGAGGUAGUACUACUAAUGUGGAGGACUACUGUGUGGUUUGCAGCAUGCUGGAAAACGAUCCUAACAAAAGCAUGAUUAAAAUGUGUGAGAACUGCAAUAGAUGGGCACAUUUGAAUGUUGCAAAUUCAAAAAUAAAUAGCCUAAAUAUGUUUAUGUGCAAAAAAAUGUGUGGGGAACAAAUGAAUUAUUUAAAAUGGUUUAUGAGAGUAUUUACUUGUAUCACUUGAAACAUUCUGCAGCACUAAGUGGUCUUAUUUAGUACAUAUUUCUAGUAAUAAUAGCUGUUGUUUUGCAUAUUUUGUAUUCUGUACCUCUGUGUUUUAUGAUUUUGAACUUUUAAAAUGAAUUUAUGAAUUAAUUAAUUUUUCACUUUUUC